Non-coding RNA from Talpa occidentalis (Iberian mole), 363 nucleotides. NCBI's taxonomy places the organism in Eukaryota, Metazoa, Chordata, Mammalia, Eulipotyphla, Talpidae. The record is from the annotation of a RefSeq genome assembly.
AUGGCGCUCUCCAGCCUGCUGUGGGCCCUGGUGGCCUUCACUUGCUCUGGAUCCAGUGUGGCCCAGAAAGUUACUCAAGACCAGCCAGAUAUAUCAGCACAAGAAGAGUCGGCAGCCACCUUCAACUGUCAGUAUGAAACAACUUGGAUUAACUACUAUCUUUUCUGGUACAAGCAGCUUCCUGACGGAAAGAUCACUUACAUUAUUCAUCAGUAUUCUUCUGAUAAAAAUGCAGUAAAGGGUCGCUAUUUCAUAAACUUCGUGAAAGCAGACAAAUCCAUCUCCCUCACCAUUUCACCCUUACAACUGGAAGAUUCAGCAACGUAUUUCUGUGCUCUCAGUGAUGCACUGUGUUUGAAGUGA